AUUGAACGCUGGCGGCAUGCCUUACACAUGCAAGUCGAACGGCAGCACGGGAGCAAUCCUGGUGGCGAGUGGCGAACGGGUGAGUAAUAUAUCGGAACGUGCCCAGUCGUGGGGGAUAACGCAGCGAAAGCUGUGCUAAUACCGCAUACGAUCUAUGGAUGAAAGCGGGGGAUCGCAAGACCUCGCGCGAUUGGAGCGGCCGAUAUCAGAUUAGGUAGUUGGUGGGGUAAAGGCCCACCAAGCCAACGAUCUGUAGCUGGUCUGAGAGGACGACCAGCCACACUGGAACUGAGACACGGUCCAGACUCCUACGGGAGGCAGCAGUGGGGGAUUUUGGACAAUGGGCGAAAGCCUGAUCCAGCGACGCCGCGUGGAGGACGAAGCCCUUCGGGGUGUAAACUCCUUUUCUCAGGGAAAAGGAUGAUGGUACCUGAGGAAUAAGCCCCGGCUAACUACGUGCCAGCAGCCGCGGUAAGGAGUAGUACA
RNAcentral lists this ribosomal RNA (486 nucleotides) under uncultured bacterium. RNAcentral describes it as "bacterial SSU rRNA". It matches the Rfam family "Bacterial small subunit ribosomal RNA", at positions 29 to 536 of the family's 1533-position model. The record is from RNAcentral.